UGCAUUUGUGGUAGUGAUAUGCAG
Molecule: non-coding RNA, 24 nt
Filed under: Mus musculus (house mouse)
Lineage: Eukaryota; Metazoa; Chordata; Mammalia; Rodentia; Muridae
Source: RNAcentral